This 1676-nucleotide ribosomal RNA is filed under the name Salmonella enterica subsp. enterica serovar Derby. RNAcentral's name for it is "bacterial SSU rRNA". It matches the Rfam family "Bacterial small subunit ribosomal RNA". The record is from RNAcentral. Lineage: Bacteria; Pseudomonadati; Pseudomonadota; Gammaproteobacteria; Enterobacterales; Enterobacteriaceae.
AGAGUUUGAUCAUGGCUCAGAUUGAACGCUGGCGGCAGGCCUAACACAUGCAAGUCGAACGGUAACAGGAAGCAGCUUGCUGCUUUGCUGACGAGUGGCGGACGGGUGAGUAAUGUCUGGGAAACUGCCUGAUGGAGGGGGAUAACUACUGGAAACGGUGGCUAAUACCGCAUAACGUCGCAAGACCAAAGAGGGGGACCUUCGGGCCUCUUGCCAUCAGAUGUGCCCAGAUGGGAUUAGCUUGUUGGUGAGGUAACGGCUCACCAAGGCGACGAUCCCUAGCUGGUCUGAGAGGAUGACCAGCCACACUGGAACUGAGACACGGUCCAGACUCCUACGGGAGGCAGCAGUGGGGAAUAUUGCACAAUGGGCGCAAGCCUGAUGCAGCCAUGCCGCGUGUAUGAAGAAGGCCUUCGGGUUGUAAAGUACUUUCAGCGGGGAGGAAGGUGUUGUGGUUAAUAACCACAGCAAUUGACGUUACCCGCAGAAGAAGCACCGGCUAACUCCGUGCCAGCAGCCGCGGUAAUACGGAGGGUGCAAGCGUUAAUCGGAAUUACUGGGCGUAAAGCGCACGCAGGCGGUCUGUCAAGUCGGAUGUGAAAUCCCCGGGCUCAACCUGGGAACUGCAUUCGAAACUGGCAGGCUUGAGUCUUGUAGAGGGGGGUAGAAUUCCAGGUGUAGCGGUGAAAUGCGUAGAGAUCUGGAGGAAUACCGGUGGCGAAGGCGGCCCCCUGGACAAAGACUGACGCUCAGGUGCGAAAGCGUGGGGAGCAAACAGGAUUAGAUACCCUGGUAGUCCACGCCGUAAACGAUGUCUACUUGGAGGUUGUGCCCUUGAGGCGUGGCUUCCGGAGCUAACGCGUUAAGUAGACCGCCUGGGGAGUACGGCCGCAAGGUUAAAACUCAAAUGAAUUGACGGGGGCCCGCACAAGCGGUGGAGCAUGUGGUUUAAUUCGAUGCAACGCGAAGAACCUUACCUGGUCUUGACAUCCACGGGGGCCCGCACAAGCGGUGGAGCAUGUGGUUUAAUUCGAUGCAACGCGAAGAACCUUACCUGGUCUUGACAUCCACGGAAGUUUUCAGAGAUGAGAAUGUGCCUUCGGGAACUGUGAGACAGGUGCUGCAUGGCUGUCGUCAGCUCGUGUUGUGAAAUGUUGGGUUAAGUCCCGCAACGAGCGCAACCCUGUGAGACAGGUGCUGCAUGGCUGUCGUCAGCUCGUGUUGUGAAAUGUUGGGUUAAGUCCCGCAACGAGCGCAACCCUUAUCCUUUGUUGCCAGCGAUUAGGUCGGGAACUCAAAGGAGACUGCCAGUGAUAAACUGGAGGAAGGUGGGGAUGACGUCAAGUCAUCAUGGCCCUUACGACCAGGGCUACACACGUGCUACAAUGGCGCAUACAAAGAGAAGCGACCUCGCGAGAGCAAGCGGACCUCAUAAAGUGCGUCGUAGUCCGGAUUGGAGUCUGCAACUCGACUCCAUGAAGUCGGAAUCGCUAGUAAUCGUGGAUCAGAAUGCCACGGUGAAUACGUUCCCGGGCCUUGUACACACCGCCCGUCACACCAUGGGAGUGGGUUGCAAAAGAAGUAGGUAGCUUAACCUUCGGGAGGGCGCUUACCACUUUGUGAUUCAUGACUGGGGUGAAGUCGUAACAAGGUAACCGUAGGGGAACCUGCGGUUG